UUGAAGAGCUAAAUCAAUGGCAGCAACAAAUCAUAAGAUGGCCCUGCUUUUCUUUUUCUUCUUUAUCUUACAGGUUUGAGGGACCUCUUCCUUUUGAACUUGAAACUGGGUAUGUUGGUGUGGGUGACUCUGAAGAUGAUCAACUCUUUUACUACUUUAUAAAGUCGGAGAGGAAACCUGAGGACGACCCUCUUCUGCUAUGGUUAUCUGGUGGCCCUGGCUGCACCUCCUUCACUGGUCUUGUUUUCAGAAUCGGUCCUUUGAAAUUUGAGGUUGUGGAGUACAAUGGAAGCUUGCCUACUUUGGUUUUAAACCCGUACAAAACUAUAAAAACUGACAACUGAAUAAAAAGCCUCUUUUCUGUUGUGUUCUUUUGGACAAUAAAGAUUUGUUUUCAGAUGUCAAACUUCCUAUUUGUCGAUUCACCAGUCGGAGUCGGCUUCUCCUAUGCAAGAAACGAACUUGAUGUGAAAACAAGUGACUCCAAACAAGUUCGCUAUCUCCACCAAUUUCUUCUAAAGGUCAUCCUAAAAUAGCUGUCUUCAGUUAUCACCGUUGUGUAUACAUAAAUGAAUCACCGUUGGCGGGGAUUCGUAUUCUGGGAUUACAGUCCCAGUCCUUGCUCAAGAGAUAUUAAACGGUAAAGUACUAAAACCCUGAACUGA
Long non-coding RNA from Hibiscus syriacus, 665 nucleotides. RefSeq lists it as uncharacterized. The record is from RefSeq and is a predicted model, not a curated record. NCBI's taxonomy places the organism in Eukaryota, Viridiplantae, Streptophyta, Magnoliopsida, Malvales, Malvaceae. The transcript has 3 exons.